This is a long non-coding RNA of Ostrea edulis (European flat oyster), 538 nucleotides long. RefSeq lists it as uncharacterized. Lineage: Eukaryota; Metazoa; Mollusca; Bivalvia; Ostreida; Ostreidae. The record is from RefSeq and is a predicted model, not a curated record. The transcript has 2 exons.
CUUUGUUUAACACCUACAACAAAGCUUGUUUACUUCUGCACACUACGCGUUGAUCGUAACUGACUGACGUAAGUUUACUGUCCUAGAUGUUUACCUAUUGGAACAAUCAUGAAUUACCUGUGUAUAGACUAGUUCUCAACACAUUCAAUAUUUUAGAUAUGUGAUUUUUGGAAGGGUAGACGUUUUACAUCAAGUAAUAUAAAACCAAAUGUUUCGCUGUCCACCUAUGAGAACGAACUAUGGCACACCGAUCGCGUAAGAAUUCAUCUCUUGGAGCUAAACAACACAUCCAGGUAUUACAGAUCUCUUGGAGCUACACAGCACUUCCGGGUAUUACAGAUCUCUUGGAGUUACACAACACUUCCGGGUAUCACAGACCUCUUGGAGGUAAACAACACAUCCGGAUAUUACAGAUAUCUUGGAGCUAAACAACACAUCCUGGCAUUACAUAUCUCUUGGAGCUAAACAACACAUCCGGAUAUUACAGAUCUCUUGGAACUAAACAACACAUCCAGGUAUUACAGAUUUCUUGGAGCUA